This is a long non-coding RNA of Bos taurus (domestic cattle), 529 nucleotides long. NCBI's taxonomy places the organism in Eukaryota, Metazoa, Chordata, Mammalia, Artiodactyla, Bovidae. The record is from Ensembl.
AUCCCCUAGAGAAAGGAAUGGCAACAUUCCAGUAUUCUUGCCUGGAAAAUUCCAGAGGAGCCUGGUGGGCUACACUCCAUGGGAUUGCAAAGAGAGAAAUGCAAAUCAAGACUACAAUGAGGUCUUCCUCCAUCAGUAUCAGCCAGUCGAGGUUGGGGAUGGAAACAGGAGACCUCGCUAAGUCUGAGCCCUGUGGGAAAAAGGGAUCCUGAAAACAGCAAAUUAGCUCACAGCUAUACCUGUUUACACAGUCAAAUUUUCUGGCCAGGUGAAAUGUGGGAUCUUUGACUCCAUGACCAAGGACUGAACCUACACCUCCUGUGUUGAAAGGCGACAUUUUAACCAUCGAACCAGAAGGGAAGUCCCGCAAGUUUCAUAUAUAUAUAUUUCAAUGGAUAGACACAAGGCCUCUCUUUCUAGAAAUGACUUCUCUCCAGAAAUAUGAGAUUAUCUUUACCUCUUACUUUCCUAUCAUAGAUGUCUGAAGGUCGUGGAGUAGAGAUUACUGGACUUGAGUCAAAAAACUGAG